RNAcentral lists this ribosomal RNA (1016 nucleotides) under Bacillus licheniformis. RNAcentral's name for it is "partial 16S ribosomal RNA". The record is from RNAcentral. Lineage: Bacteria; Bacillati; Bacillota; Bacilli; Caryophanales; Bacillaceae.
UGAUAGCUGGGUGUGCUGUAUGUCGAGCGAGGGACCGUAGCUUGUCUGAUGUCAGCGGCGGACGGGUGAGUAACACGUGGGUACCUGCCUGUAGACUGGGAUAACUCCGGGAAACCGGGGCUAAUACCGGAUGCUUGAUUGAACCGCAUGUUAAAUUAUGAAAGGUGGCUUUUAGCAGCACUUAAUGAGGGACCGGCUUAGAUAGUUUUCGUGAGUAUGGUCUCACCAUGGUAGCAAGGUGGGCCCAGGGAGGGGGGCGGACGAUUGGGAUAUCACGGGUUCAUUUGUUUGCAGGGGGUAGUAGAUGCGAAUGAUAUGGUAUGGAAAGGUGCGUGUUGAGGGUUUGGCCCAAAAACUCGUUUGUGGGGAAGAAAAAGACCGUCGAAGGGGGUGUUCCCUUGAGGGACCUAACAAAAAGCGGGGGUUAAUUAGGGGCCAGACCGGGGAAAUACUUGGGGGGAGGCGUUUUCAGAAAAUAUUUCCCUAAAGCCCCCCCCCCUUUUUUUUAUUUUAGUUUAAAACCCCCCCCCCCCCCGGGGGGGAUGGAAAAGGGGCCCUCGGCCAAAAAGGGGAAAACCCCCCCCCUGGGGCAAAAUUCGGGGGGGGGGAAAAAACCCUUGGGGGUUCCUCUCUUUUUUUAUAUAAGGGGGGGGAAAAGAAGGGGGGGGAGAAAAAAAAAUACUGGGCCUCCCUCCUUCCUUUAUAAAUAGAGGGAGAGGGGGGGGGGCCCUCCCCCCCCCUCUGGGGAAAAAAAAAAAAAAAUAUUUACCCCCCCCCCCGGGGGGGGGGGAAAUAAAAAAAAAUAUAGAGGGGCGAAGUGGGGGAUAUUUUUAUAUUCGGAGGCCGAAAAUAUCUCGGGUGUGGUAUCUUAUCCCUGUGUGUGUGUCUCUCUCGGGGAGCACACAAGGGAUUUCUCUCUCCCUCGGAGGAGUAGUGUGAUAAUCCUCAAGCGCCGCGUUCUCUGAGAGCCUCCUUGGGAUACUAAUAGCGCGCGCAGAAGGGAGAGGGGUGAUCCA